CCUACGGGUGGCAGCAGUCGAGAAUCAUUCACAAUGGGGGAAACCCUGAUGGUGCGACGCCGCGUGGGGGACUGAAGGUCUUCGGAUUGUAAACUCCUGUCAUGUGGGAGCAAAUUAAAAAGAUAGUACCACAAGAGGAAGAGACGGCUAACUCUGUGCCAGCAGCCGCGGUAAUACAGCGGUCUCAAGCGUUGGUCGGAACCACUGGGCGUAAAGCGUGCGUAGGCUGGUUCGUAAGGCGUGUGUGAAAGGCGGGGGGUAAACCCGCGGACGGCACAUGAUACUGGGGGACUAGAGAAAUGAAGGGGGAAGCGGAAUGCGCAGUGUAGCAGUGAAAUGCGUAGAUAUCG
Molecule: ribosomal RNA, 350 nt
Filed under: uncultured bacterium
Lineage: Bacteria
Description: partial 16S ribosomal RNA
Rfam family: Bacterial small subunit ribosomal RNA
Source: RNAcentral